Molecule: long non-coding RNA, 700 nt
Filed under: Dromaius novaehollandiae (emu)
Lineage: Eukaryota; Metazoa; Chordata; Aves; Casuariiformes; Dromaiidae
Description: lncRNA (ENSDNVG00000003703.1)
Source: RNAcentral
GUUUGUUGUCCAGGCAGCUCUGAAAGAGAGGCAGCCCGAGAAGCUGAAAUCAUAUGAGAGAAUCAGUCACUGUAAGAUCUGAAGAGGAGGCAAAAAAAAAAAAACCGAACAGGUACUGAUAUGCAAAUGCAUCCUCUAAAAACUUCUCACUGUUGGACUCGUAGGAUUUGUACCUAGUGUUUCCAGUUUAAACUGCUUUUCACAAAUUUUGGUUGUGUCUCUGAUAUAUUCAACAAGGUUUCACCCUCCCUUUUCAGCCGUGUGAAGUUUCGAAAUGUGUGAAUAAUUUAAAUUGUUUUUGCCUCAUUUCCACUGUCUGAUGUGAUUCUUAUCUGCCUGUCUUGUUUGCCCGAUUUAUGAAGGUUUGUUUUUUAGGUUUUGCCUCAGUUUUUACUAAGGGAGAGAUUUUUUGUCAUGAUAAAUUUUCAUAUUUUAUUGACAGCUUUCUCCUCAAGGCCUUGAUUUGGUGAAGCCCUUCUGCAGUUAUUCAACUUUAGGUGGGAAGAGGACACUUCAGGAAGAUACACUGGAAGAUGCAGAGACAAAGCCAGGAUGUUCCCAUCUGAUCUCCCCUUCCAGCUCCCCUGGAGGUAGUCUAGUUUGGAGAGAGGAUUCUCACCUGAGACCUGACUUGAAAAGUGACUGGAGACCCACAGGAAGUGAAAUGGAGCACACAACCCCUCAAUCCAAUCAAAGCUAA